CCACUCGGCUGAGGCUCAAUAGCCUUCCUCUCCUUCUCCUCCUUCCACUGUUAUAUUGUAAGCCAAACCCACUUAUUAGCAGCUGGUCUCAUUGGCUUGGCUUAACUCUCCAACCACAUCCUAACAACGCCCCCUCCACAACGCUCCUCCUGAAGAGGAGGUUCUCCCAGCCCCAGCCCACAGAGAGGGUGCACAGGCUGGAGGCUGCGCAGAGCCCUGGGACUUGUAGUUUUUCCUGCCUGACGUCUGAAGCAGCUGCCUUCUUCCCUGCUGACAGAAUCUCUACCUGUGAUGACUGGGGACGGUGCACAGAAGAACUGAGACCAGACUUAGAGCAGAGACACAAGCUACUGACCGGGAAGGAGGUUGAAUGCUACAGUCAUGGGCUCUAUCUCUGUGACUGGUGAGAUAGAAAAAAGAAUGGCCGCCUGUCUGCACCAUUCCUUUGCUUCCCAGUUGACAAAAUUCCUGAUCUAAAAGAAAUCACAAAAAUAUAACUCCUCCACCUCGUCUUUCCUCAAUCCUGGAAGUCUCGGAGAGAAAGAAGAACUAUGAAUGAAAGCCAUUAGUCAAAGGAAUAGACCACUGGAGAGGGCAAACACUACCAAUCACUGGAAGAAUUCCAGCAAUGGAUAAUCAAAUGUUCUUCAGUAUUUUUUGUGUGUCGCCAAAUCCUUUGGAUGUCUGGUGAAGCCUGUGGACCCCUUUGCAGAAUAAUGUUCUUCAGACAGAAGGAAGGAUCAGUGGAAUAGACUUGGGGAAAGUGAUCUCAGCAAGACAGUGUAUCAUAAACCCAAAGAUCCCAGCUUUGGGGACAAAAAUCCACUAUUUGACAAAAACUUCUGGGAAAAUUGGAAGACAGUGUGGGAGAGAUUAGGUUUGAAUCAACACCUCACACCCUACACCAAGAUAAACUCAGAAUGGGUGAAUGACUUGAACAUAAAGAAGGAAACUAUAAGUAAAUUAGGUGAACACAGAAUAGUAUACAUGUCAGACCUGUGGGAAGGGAAAGACUUUAAAACCAAGCAAGAGUUAGGAAAAAAAAUCACAAAAUGUAAAAUAAAUAAUUUUGAUUACAUCAAAUUAAAAAGUUUUUGUACAAACAAAACCAAUGUAACUAAAAUCAGAAGGGAAGCAACAAAUUGGGAAACAAUCUUCAUAACAAAAACCUCUGAUAAAGGUUUAAUUACUCAAAUUUACAAAGAGCUAAAGCAAUUGUACAAAAAAUCAAGCCAUUCUCCAAUUGAUAAAUGGGCUAGGGACAGGAAUAGGCAGUGUUCAGUUAAAGAAAUCAAAACUAUUAAUAAGCACAUGAAAAAGUGUUCUACAUCUCUUAUAAUCAGAGAAAUGCAAAGCAAAACAACUCUGAGGUAUCACCUCCCACCUAGCAGAUUGGCUAACAUGACAGCUAUGGAAAGUAAUGAAUGCUGGAGGGGGUGUGGCAAAGUAGGGACAUUAAUUCAUUGCUGGUGGAGUUGUGAAUUGAUCCAACCAUUCUGGAGGGCAAUUUGGAACUAUGCCCAAAGGGCGAUAAAAGACUGCCCUUUGAUCCAGCCAUAGCACUGCUGGGUUUAUACCCCAAAGAGAUAAUAAGGGAAAAGACUUGUACAAGAAUAUUCAUAGCUGAGCUCUUUGUGGUGGCCAAAAAUUGGAAAAUGAGGGGAUGCCCUUCACUUGGGGAAUGGCUGAACAAAUUGUGGUAUCUGUUGGUGAUGGAAUACUGUGGGUGUGGUGAUGGAAUAUUGUGCUCAAAAGAAUAAUGAACUGGAGUAAUUCCGUGAGAACUGGAACAACCUCCAGGAAGUGAUGCAGAGCGAAAGGAGCAGAACCAGGAAAACAUUGUACACAGAGACUGACACACUGUGGUACAAUCGAAGGUAAUGGACUUCUCCAUUGGUGUCAAUGCAGUGUCCCUGAACAAUCUGCAGGGAUCUAAAAAACACUAUCCACAAGCAGAGGAUAAAUUGUGGGAGUAAAAACACCGAUGAAAAGCAACUGCUUGACUGCAGGGAUGGAGGGGAUAUGACUGAGGAGAGACUCUAAAUGAACACUCUAAUGCAAAUACCAACAACAUGGAAAUGGGUUUGAAUCAGGAACACAUGUGAUACCCAGUGAAAUCGCACGUCUGCUAUGGGAGAGGUGGGGGGGAGGGAAGAAAAGAAAAUGAUCUUUGUUUCCAAUGAAUAAUGUUUGGAAAUGACCAAAUAAAACAAUGUUUAAAAAAAAGAAAAAAGAAAAAAAUCACAAAAUGUAAAAUAAAUAAUUUUGAUUACAUCAAAUUAAAAAGUUUUUGUACAAACAAAACCAAUGUAACUAAAAUCAGAAGGGAAGCAACAAAUUGGGAAACAAUCUUCAUAACAAAAACCUCUGAUAAAGGUCUACUUACUCAAAUUUUUAAAGAGUUAAAUCAAUUGUACAAAAAAUCAAGCCAUUCUCCAAUUGAUAAAUGGGCAAAGAGACAUGAAUAGGCAAUUUUCAGUUAAAGAAAUCAAAACUAUUAAUAAGCACAUGAAAAAGUGUUCUAAAUCUCUUAUAAUCAGAGAAAUGCAAAGCAAAACAACUCUGAGGUAUCAUCUCACACCUAGCAGAUUGGCUAACAUGACAGCUAUGGAAAGUAAUGAAUGCUGGAGGGGGUGUGGCAAAGUAGGGACAUUAAUUCAUUGCUGGUGGAGUUGUGAAUUGAUCCAGACAUUCUAGAGGGCAAUUUGGAACUAUGCCCAAAGGGCACUAAAAGACUGUCUGCCCUUUGAUCCAGCCAUAGCACUGCUGGAUUUGUACCCCAAAGAGAUAAUAAGGAAAAACACUUGUACAAGAAUAUUCAUAGCAGCACUCUUUGUGGUGGCCAAAAAUUGGAAAAUGAGGGGAUGCCCUUCACUUGGGGAAUGGCUGAACAAAUUGUGGUAUAUGUUGGUGAUGGAAUACUAUUGUGCUCAAAGAAUUAAUGAAGUGGAGGAAUUCCAUGGGAAAAGGAACAACCUCCAGGAAUUGAUGCAGAGGGAGAGGAGCAGAACCAGGAAAACAUUGUACACAGAGACUGAUACACUGUGGCACAAUCGAAUGUAAUGGACUUCUCUACUAGCAGCAAUGCAAUGAUCCAGGACAAUCUUGAGGGACUUAUGAGAAAGAACAAUAUCCACAUCCAGAGAAAGAACUGUGGGAGCAGAAACACAGAAGAAAAAAAAAACCUGCUUGAUCACAUGGGUUGAUGGGGCUAUGAUGAGGGAUGUAAACUCUUAAAUGAUCACCCUAAUGCAAAUAUCAAUAAUAUGGAAAUAGGUCUUGAUCAAUGACACAUGUAAAACCCAGUGGAAUUGAGUGUUGGCUAUAGGAGGGGGAUGGGAGGGGGGAGGGAAAGAACCUGAAUCAUGUAACCAUGGAAAAUUUUUCCUAAUUAAUCAAUUAAAUAAAAUUUAAAAAAAAA
This is a long non-coding RNA of Monodelphis domestica (gray short-tailed opossum), 3421 nucleotides long. RefSeq lists it as uncharacterized. Lineage: Eukaryota; Metazoa; Chordata; Mammalia; Didelphimorphia; Didelphidae. The record is from RefSeq and is a predicted model, not a curated record.